CCCCCUAGUUUUUUAGUUAAACAGGAUGUUUAAUGGAAAACUAUAUAUGAUUCAUGAUAUUUAGAAUUCAAUAAAGGUCCAAGGAUAGGAAAUAAGUGAAUUAUACCCACUUUUAACAUACGAAGUGGAAUAAGGGAGGGCUGGAUAGUGGAUACCCAAAACAAUAAGCCCAAUCUGAUAAAAUAUUCAAAGGUCAUCCAAACGCAUUCCACUUGAAUUCUCAUCAUUACUGACAUUAAAUGCGUCGGCCUCGCUCCACGUGUAACCGUCAGUAUAAAAGAUAAACUUCACCAAAUUUGACGGUUUUACCUACUGAUUUGAAAUUCGAACCUUUGAGCUUUCUUCCCUUUCUCAGAAAACCUCUCUUUAGCUUUCGAAAACUCAACAAUGGUGAAUCCAAGCCAAGCCCCUUCAAGUUCUUCUCAUUCAAAC
RNAcentral lists this long non-coding RNA (432 nucleotides) under Panax ginseng (ginseng). Its description in RNAcentral is "long non-coding RNA (PGIN_LNC003164)". Lineage: Eukaryota; Viridiplantae; Streptophyta; Magnoliopsida; Apiales; Araliaceae. The record is from RNAcentral.